Molecule: long non-coding RNA, 372 nt
Filed under: Homo sapiens (human)
Lineage: Eukaryota; Metazoa; Chordata; Mammalia; Primates; Hominidae
Description: HSALNT0252268
Source: RNAcentral
UUUUGUUCUGCUGUUGGAUUUUCCCACCUGUUGUAUGGGGAACUAUGGAAACAGAGAUGCCCAGAGAGAAGACAAUGUGAGGAGACACAGGGCGCACCACCAGGGCGGUGCUUCCACAAGUCAAGGAGUGCUGAAGAUUCCAGCAAACCACCAGAUGCCAGGGAAGAGCUCGGAACGGGCCUUCCUCACAGUCCCCAGAAGGAACCAACCCUGCCGACACCCUGAUCUUGGAUUUCCAGCCUUGAGAACUGUGAGACAAUACAUCUGUAUUGUUUAAGCUGCCCUGUUUGUGGUCUUUUGUCCUGACAUCCCCAGGAAGCUAAGUUAGUGACUGUAUAUUUUAAUCCUUCAAAUAUAUACUCUAUCAUCUCC